GAUGAACGCUGGCGGCGUGCCUAAUACAUGCAAGUCGAGCGAACGGACGAGAAGCUUGCUUCUCUGAUGUUAGCGGCGGACGGGUGAGUAACACGUGGAUAACCUACCUAUAAGACUGGGAUAACUUCGGGAAACCGGAGCUAAUACCGGAUAAUAUUUUGAACCGCAUGGUUCAAAAGUGAAAGACGGUCUUGCUGUCACUUAUAGAUGGAUCCGCGCUGCAUUAGCUAGUUGGUAAGGUAACGGCUUACCAAGGCAACGAUGCAUAGCCGACCUGAGAGGGUGACCGGCACAACUGAACCUAGGAAACGGUCAAGCUCCCAAGGGAAGGAAGAGGUAGGAAAUCUUCGGCAAUGGGCGAAAGCUUGCCGGAGAAACGCGGGGUGAGUAAUGAAGGCCUCCGGAUGGUAAAAUCCUGUUAUUAGGGAAGAAAAAAUGGGAAAGUAACUGUGCAAACUUGACCGGAACUAAAUAAGAAAGCACCGGUAAACUACGG
Molecule: ribosomal RNA, 496 nt
Filed under: uncultured bacterium
Lineage: Bacteria
Description: partial 16S ribosomal RNA
Rfam family: Bacterial small subunit ribosomal RNA
Source: RNAcentral